This 468-nucleotide ribosomal RNA is filed under the name uncultured bacterium. RNAcentral's name for it is "partial 16S ribosomal RNA". It matches the Rfam family "Bacterial small subunit ribosomal RNA", at positions 28 to 507 of the family's 1533-position model. The record is from RNAcentral.
GACGAACGCUGGCGGCGUGCUUAACACAUGCAAGUCGAACGGAAAGGCCCUGCUUUUGUGGGGUGCUCGAGUGGCGAACGGGUGAGUAACACGUGAGUAACCUGCCCUUGACUUUGGGAUAACUUCAGGAAACUGGGGCUAAUACCGGAUAGGAGCUCCUGCUGCAUGGUGGGGGUUGGAAAGUUUCGGCGGUUGGGGAUGGACUCGCGGCUUAUCAGCUUGUUGGUGGGGGAGUGGCUUACCAAGGCUUUGACGGGUAGCCGGCCUGAGAGGGUGACCGGCCACAUUGGUACUGAGAUACGGCCCAGACUCCUACGGGAGGCAGCAGUGGGGAAUAUUGCACAAUGGGCGGAAGCCUGAUGCAGCAACGCCGCGUGCGGGAUGACGGCCUUCGGGUUGUAAACCGCUUUCGCCUGUGACGAAGCGUGAGUGACGGUAAUGGGUAAAGAAGCACCGGCUAACUACGUG